AUUGAACGCUGGCGGCGUGCUUAACACAUGCAAGUCGAGCGGAGCGGCGAACGGGUGAGUAACGCGUGAGUAACUGCCCCCCUCUCUGGGAUAACAGUUGGAAACGGCUGCUAAUACCUGAUAGUGGGGGAUGACUCGGGUCCUAUCAGCUUGUUGGUGGGGUAGUGGCCUACCAAGGCGACGACGGGUAGCCGGCCUGGGAGGGCGACCGGCCACAUUGGGCUGAGGGAGGGACCAAACUGCUACGGGAGGCAGCAGUGGCGAAUAUUGCACAAUGGGGGAAAGUCUGAUGCAGCAACGCCGCGGGCGGGAUGACGGCCUUCGGGUUGGAAACCGCUUUAAGCCAUGACGCGGUAGUGGCAGAAGAAGCACCGGCUAACUACGUGCCAGCAGCCGCGGUAAUAC
This 405-nucleotide ribosomal RNA is filed under the name uncultured bacterium. RNAcentral describes it as "partial 16S ribosomal RNA". It matches the Rfam family "Bacterial small subunit ribosomal RNA", at positions 28 to 526 of the family's 1533-position model. The record is from RNAcentral.